RNAcentral lists this ribosomal RNA (253 nucleotides) under uncultured bacterium. RNAcentral describes it as "partial 16S ribosomal RNA". It matches the Rfam family "Bacterial small subunit ribosomal RNA", at positions 524 to 776 of the family's 1533-position model. The record is from RNAcentral.
UACGUAGGGUGCGAGCGUUAAUCGGAAUUACUGGGCGUAAAGCGUGCGCAGGCGGUUAUGCAAGACAGAUGUGAAAUCCCCGGGCUUAACCUGGGAAUUGCAUUUGUGACUGCACGGCUAGAGUGUGUCAGAGGGGGGUAGAAUUCCACGUGUAGCAGUGAAAUGCGUAGAGAUGUGGAGGAAUACCGAUGGCGAAGGCAGCCCCCUGGGAUAACACUGACGCUCAUGCACGAAAGCGUGGGGAGCAAACAGG